RNAcentral lists this ribosomal RNA (253 nucleotides) under uncultured bacterium. RNAcentral describes it as "partial 16S ribosomal RNA". It matches the Rfam family "Bacterial small subunit ribosomal RNA", at positions 524 to 776 of the family's 1533-position model. The record is from RNAcentral.
UACGUAGGUGGCAAGCGUUGUCCGGAUUUAUUGGGUUUAAAGGGUGCGUAGGCGGUCGGGUAAGUCUGACGUGAAAUCUUCAAGCUCAACUUGGAAACUGCGUCGGAUACUAUUCGGCUAGAGGAAUGGAGGGGAGACUGGAAUACUUGGUGUAGCAGUGAAAUGCGUAGAUAUCAAGUGGAACACCAGUGGCGAAGGCGAGUCUCUGGACAUUUCCUGACGCUGAGGCACGAAAGCCAGGGGAGCAAACGGG